Molecule: ribosomal RNA, 333 nt
Filed under: uncultured eukaryote
Lineage: Eukaryota
Description: partial 18S ribosomal RNA
Rfam family: Eukaryotic small subunit ribosomal RNA
Source: RNAcentral
CCCUUAGAUGUUCUGGGCCGCACGCGCGCUACACUGAUGCAUUCAACGAGUUUCUUCCUGGUCCGAGAGGAAUGGGUAACCUUUUGAAAGUGCAUCGUGAUAGGGAUAGACUAUUGCAAUUAUUGGUCUUCAACGAGGAAUUCCUAGUAGACGUAGUUCAUCAGACUGCAUCGAUUACGUCCCUGCCCUUUGUACACACCGCCCGUCGCUACUACCGAUUGGAUGGUUUAGUGAGGCCCUCGGAUCGGCCCCGCCGGGGUCGGCCCACGGCCCUGGCGGAGCGCUGAGAAGACGGUCGAACUUGACUAUCUAGAGGAAGUAAAAGUCGUAACA